GCAGGUCUCUGUCUCUGCUGCUGCGGGGGGUGAUGUCUGGAUCCGUCAUGUUGCCCACCAUGGACUUCAUGGCCGACCCUGAUACUGUGAACCUCAUGGUGCUGAUAUUUGUUGAUAACACUCCACUCGAUCCGGACACCGAGCCCCCGUCUCCACUGGUUCCUUUUUUACAGAAAUACGCCAACGUCAGCAACAAGAAGCAUUCUGUGA
This is a long non-coding RNA of Notothenia coriiceps (black rockcod), 210 nucleotides long. RefSeq lists it as uncharacterized. Lineage: Eukaryota; Metazoa; Chordata; Actinopteri; Perciformes; Nototheniidae. The record is from RefSeq and is a predicted model, not a curated record. The transcript is spliced from 3 exons.